AUGCCACUUUCCAUGGUGUCUGAUCGUGAUCGUGUCUUUACUAGCAAGUUUUGGAAGGAAUUAUUUCAAAGGUGUGGAGUUCUUCUCAGAAUGAGCACGGCUCGUCAUCCGCAAUCUGAUGGGCAGACGGAAAGAGUUAACCAGCAAGUCGAAUGUUUCCUCCGAUGUUUUGUAAGUGCUCAUCCUUCUCGGUGGUCCAAAUGGAUUCCAUUAUGUGAGUUCUGGUAUAACACUAAUUGGCACUCAGCUACUGGAAAAACUCCAUUUGAAAUCAUAUAUGGCCAUGCCCCACGCCAUUUUGGUUUGAAGGCAGACGAUGCAAUUCAGUCAGAGGACUUGCAUCUGUGGCUUGCGGAUAGGCAGGUCAUUCUGGAGUCAGUGCGUCAGCACCUGCUGCGAGCACAGCAGCGCAUGAAGAUACAAGCAGACAAGCAUUGAAGUGAUCGUGAAUUUGUAUGGGAUCAGGUUUUUCUGAAACUGCAACCUUAUUUGCAAUCAUCAGUCGCUCCUAGGGCCAAUCAUAAACUGGCAUUUAAGUUUUAUGGGCCAUUUGAGGUACUGGAACGCAUUGGGGCAGUGGCUUAUCGGCUCAAAUUGCCAGAGGACAGUAAAGUUCAUCCGGUGUUUCAUGUAUCUCUCCUAAGAAAAGUAUUGCAACCCAAGCAUCAGAUUUUGCCUCAACUGCCUAGCCCAGAUGAUCAAUUUCAGAUUCCUGAGCAGAUUUUGGAUCAGAAAGUGGUUCGUCGUGGUUCGGGAUCUCUUGUUCAAGUCUUGAUCAAGUGGAAUGCUACGCCGAUCGAGAUGACCACCCGGGAGGAUAAAGUGACGCUGCAGCAAAAGUUUCCUAGAGCACCGGCUUGGGGGCAAGCCGUUUCUCAGGAGGGUGGGAUUGUCAGCGAUCCUGAGACGGGCCAAGAACCAAGCGAGGAGAAGAGUAGGCCCAAGCGACAGCCUCGCCUCCCGGCUCGGCUAGCUGGGCCAGAAUGGCCCUAG
This 993-nucleotide ribosomal RNA is filed under the name Triticum aestivum (bread wheat). RNAcentral describes it as "partial small subunit ribosomal RNA". The record is from RNAcentral. Lineage: Eukaryota; Viridiplantae; Streptophyta; Magnoliopsida; Poales; Poaceae.